CCUACGGGGGGCAGCAGUGGGGAAUAUUGGACAAUGGGGGCAACCCUGAUCCAGCCAUGCCGCGUGUGUGAAGAAGGCCCUCGGGUUGUAAAGCACUUUCAGUGAGGAAGAACGCCUGGUGGUUAAUACCCAUCAGGAAAGACAUCACUCACAGAAGAAGCACCGGCUAACUCCGUGCCAGCAGCCGUGGUAAUACGGAGGGUGCGAGCGUUAAUCGGAAUUACUGGGCGUAAAGCGCGCGUAGGUGGCUUGAUAAGCCGGUUGUGAAAGCCCCGGGCUCAACCUGGGAACGGCAUCCGGAACUGUCAAGCUAGAGUGCAGGAGAGGAAGGUAGAAUUCCCGGUGUAGCGGUGAAAUGCGUAGAGAUCGGGAGGAAUACCAGUGGCGAAGGCGGCCUUCUGGACUGACACUGACACUGAGGUGCGAAAGCGUGGGUAGCAAACAGGAUUAGAUACCCCAGUAGUC
Molecule: ribosomal RNA, 465 nt
Filed under: Vreelandella stevensii
Lineage: Bacteria; Pseudomonadati; Pseudomonadota; Gammaproteobacteria; Oceanospirillales; Halomonadaceae
Description: partial 16S ribosomal RNA
Rfam family: Bacterial small subunit ribosomal RNA
Source: RNAcentral